UGUACACUGGUGUAUAGAGCAUGAAAAGCUUUGAUCUUUUAAGAAAUGGUGCGAUUCCGUUGUGUAUAG
RNAcentral lists this transfer RNA (69 nucleotides) under Tritodynamia horvathi. RNAcentral describes it as "tRNA-Gln". Lineage: Eukaryota; Metazoa; Arthropoda; Malacostraca; Decapoda; Varunidae. The record is from RNAcentral.